UACAGAGGUCUCAAGCGUUGUUCGGAUUCAUUGGGCGUAAAGGGCGCGUAGGCGGCGGGGUAAGUCUGGUGUGAAAUUUCGGAGCUUAACUCCGAAACUGCAUUCGAUACUGCGGUGCUUGAGGACUGGAGAGGAGACUGGAAUUCAUGGUGUAGCAGUGAAAUGCGUAGAGAUCAUGAGGAAGACCAGUGGCGAAGGCGGGUCUCUGGACAGUUCCUGACACUGAGGCACGAAGGCCAGGGGAGCAAACGGG
RNAcentral lists this ribosomal RNA (253 nucleotides) under uncultured bacterium. RNAcentral's name for it is "partial 16S ribosomal RNA". It matches the Rfam family "Bacterial small subunit ribosomal RNA", at positions 524 to 776 of the family's 1533-position model. The record is from RNAcentral.